ACUACACUGCAGCCUAGGUGACAGAAUGAGACCCUGUCUCCAAAACAAUAAAAAGAGAUCGUCUUUAUCUAGAAUAGUCAUGUGCCCCACAUAAAAAAAAAAAAAAAAAAAAAAAGAUUUUAUGACAAAUAAAGAAGAUGCUGAAAAGAAAAUUAGCAGUUUUGUCCACAGGGGCCUAAACCACAUGAAUACUGAUGACAAUUGUCAAAAUUCUUACAGCUAGUGUGGUAGACCAGAAACCCUCUGAAGCCUGCUGCCUUUCUAGGUAAGAGGGGAUUGUCGCUUGGAUCCAAGGGGAGAAACGCUCUAGGACGUUCCAGAAUUCUGGCCCCAGAAGCAUCUAAAACCCUCAUUAGCACUGCAAGGUAAACAUAAUCCUUCCUCUGUCUGCCUAGGCCUGGUGCCUUGAAGCCUCAGCCUGAGCACAGGGACGUGGUGUGUUUUCUUCACCACUUGAUCCUCGGCUUCUAGCCCAGGGCCUGGCACACACAGUGAGCUCUCAAAGACAUGCUUGUGAAGCUGAUGAAUGACUGCUACAUUCAACUCCCUCCCAUAUAAAUACAUAACUAUUUUUCACAUGUAUGUACAUAUUAAAAAGUAGCGUUGAAUUCACAUCUUUUCUUUUCAUGUGUAUUUUACUAGGGAAUGUCGAAGUGUGUGUAGAGACAGGAGAGGCAGCACUCAGAUUCUUGGGCUAGACUGCUCAGGUUUGACUCCCUAAUUGGCUGCAUGCUAGCUAUGUGACCUUGAGCAAGGUACUAUCCCUGGGACCUAGCUGUGAAAUCAACUUUCAUAACCCUCACGAAUGCUUGUGUACCUGUUUACAACAAGUGGCUGUUUACAAAGCAUGUCCCCAUGGGUUGUCUCUGACUUUCACAGCCCCACCUCACAGGUAGUGUUCCAACCAGGGAGCUCCUGGAUGCAAGGAACAGAGAGCCACUCGACCUAAGUGACCACCAGAGGGUGCCCACA
Molecule: long non-coding RNA, 972 nt
Filed under: Homo sapiens (human)
Lineage: Eukaryota; Metazoa; Chordata; Mammalia; Primates; Hominidae
Description: HSALNT0399736
Source: RNAcentral